AGAGUUUGAUCCUGGCUCAGGACGAACGCUGGCGGCGUGCCUAAUACAUGCAAGUCGAGCGGAGAUUUAAAAGCUUGCUUUUAGAUCUUAGCGGCGGACGGGUGAGUAACACGUGGGCAACCUGCCCUGUAAGACUGGGAUAACUUCGGGAAACCGGAGCUAAUACCGGAUAACUUCAGACACCUCCUGGUGUCCGAAUAAAAGAUGGCUUCGGCUAUCACUUACAGAUGGGCCCGCGGCGCAUUAGCUAGUUGGUGAGGUAACGGCUCACCAAGGCGACGAUGCGUAGCCGACCUGAGAGGGUGAUCGGCCACACUGGGACUGAGACACGGCCCAGACUCCUACGGGAGGCAGCAGUAGGGAAUCUUCCGCAAUGGACGAAAGUCUGACGGAGCAACGCCGCGUGAGCGAUGAAGGCCUUCGGGUCGUAAAGCUCUGUUGUUAGGGAAGAACAAGUACCGUUCGAAUAGGGCGGUACCUUGACGGUACCUAACCAGAAAGCCACGGCUAACUACGUGCCAGCAGCCGCGGUAAUACGUAGGUGGCAAGCGUUGUCCGGAAUUAUUGGGCGUAAAGCGCGCGCAGGCGGUUUCUUAAGUCUGAUGUGAAAGCCCACGGCUCAACCGUGGAGGGUCAUUGGAAACUGGGAAACUUGAGUGCAGAAGAGGAGAGUGGAAUUCCACGUGUAGCGGUGAAAUGCGUAGAGAUGUGGAGGAACACCAGUGGCGAAGGCGACUCUCUGGUCUGUAACUGACGCUGAGGCGCGAAAGCGUGGGGAGCGAACAGGAUUAGAUACCCUGGUAGUCCACGCCGUAAACGAUGAGUGCUAAGUGUUAGAGGGUUUCCGCCCUUUAGUGCUGCAGCAAACGCAUUAAGCACUCCGCCUGGGGAGUACGGUCGCAAGACUGAAACUCAAAGGAAUUGACGG
Molecule: ribosomal RNA, 928 nt
Filed under: Bacillus sp. MS1(2016)
Lineage: Bacteria; Bacillati; Bacillota; Bacilli; Caryophanales; Bacillaceae
Description: bacterial SSU rRNA
Rfam family: Bacterial small subunit ribosomal RNA
Source: RNAcentral